CCCCGUUUUUGUACGGCCGACUACUGGCGCCUUGUCCUGGCUGUUUUGUGGCUUCUGUUACUGUUACGUUUCAAGUGUGUGCAUGCUUGUACCUGAAUCACGGGUAGUGGUGCUUUAAAUUCGGUUGCCGCGCGGUGGACGCCUUUGGGUGUGCUGCUGCGGCCAAAUUGCGAUUGCGGCGUUUCCUUGUUUUUCCGGCAUGUUAACUCUGCCUGUGCUAACAAGCCAACCUCGCUUCGCUGUUGGUCUCGGAUGUUGCCUACGUUAAGAUCUCUUGGCCCAUUUCGGUUGCCUUGACUCGACCCUAGGAAGCUCUCCGAAUUGAGAACAACCGGAACAGGUGUUGCCUCUACCUCUCCACGGUUAGUGGUAGGAUUACGCAACAUUCUGCGCCGAUCCUCAAACAAGUAGGAACGAGCUUAGCCCUCUACGACAAACCAGCCCGGCCGACAACCCCGUCUAGACACGCAAGUGGAUGGGCGGAUAAACACCGGCGCUGGACGUCAAA
Molecule: unclassified non-coding RNA, 508 nt
Filed under: Poa supina
Lineage: Eukaryota; Viridiplantae; Streptophyta; Magnoliopsida; Poales; Poaceae
Description: partial external transcribed spacer
Source: RNAcentral